GGCGAUGAAGGGCGUGCUAAUCUGCGAUAAGCGCCGGUAAGGUGAUAUGAACCGUUAUAACCGGCGAUACCCGAAUGGGGAAACCCAGUGUGAUUCGUCACACUAUCAUUAACUGAAUCCAUAGGUUAAUGAGGCGAACCGGGGGAACUGAAACAUCUAAGUACCCCGAGGAAAAGAAAUCAACCGAGAUUCCCCCAGUAGCGGCGAGCGAACGGGGAGGAGCCCAGAGCCUGAAUCAGCAUGUGUGUUAGUGGAAGCGUCUGGAAAGGCGCGCGAUACAGGGUGACAGCCCCGUACACAAAAGCGCAUGUGCUGUGAGCUCGAUGAGUAGGGCGGGACACGUGGUAUCCUGUCUGAAUAUGGGGGGACCAUCCUCCAAGGCUAAAUACUCCUGACUGACCGAUAGUGAACCAGUACCGUGAGGGAAAGGCGAAAAGAACCCCGGCGAGGGGAGUGAAAAAGAACCUGAAACCGUGUACGUACAAGCAGUGGGAGCACCCUUCGGGGUGUGACUGCGUACCUUUUGUAUAAUGGGUC
This 537-nucleotide ribosomal RNA is filed under the name Salmonella enterica subsp. enterica serovar Typhimurium. RNAcentral's name for it is "partial 23S ribosomal RNA". It matches the Rfam family "Bacterial large subunit ribosomal RNA", at positions 45 to 621 of the family's 2925-position model. The record is from RNAcentral. Lineage: Bacteria; Pseudomonadati; Pseudomonadota; Gammaproteobacteria; Enterobacterales; Enterobacteriaceae.